UAUCAACAUGCUCAUUAGGUAGAGUUUGUUGAAUUAUUUUAUAUUUUUUUGAGUAUUGUUUUAGUCUCCUGGGUACACUUCUGUCCAGGACUAUUCACAAGGCAGGGCUGCUGCAUACAGUGAGACCAUCCAUAGCUUUCAGACUAAAUAUAAAACAACAUUUGUAACCUUCCUGCCUCCUGUUGUCUUCAAAAUGGGCCUUGGAGACCAUCAUGAAUCCAGGGCAGGAAUCCAUUUGGUCUAAUUGAUCUAUGAGUCACUGAACUUCACAUAGACACUGAAAAUACAGAAAACGGAUAUAGAACUCCGUUAACAGAUAAAUUGGGCAAGUAAUAAUGUAGCGCUGUUUUUUCUUUUCUUAUCAUUUAUUCCUGCUGAGUUUCUUG
Molecule: long non-coding RNA, 386 nt
Filed under: Numida meleagris (helmeted guineafowl)
Lineage: Eukaryota; Metazoa; Chordata; Aves; Galliformes; Numididae
Description: lncRNA (ENSNMEG00000004756.1)
Source: RNAcentral